RNAcentral lists this ribosomal RNA (381 nucleotides) under uncultured bacterium. Its description in RNAcentral is "bacterial SSU rRNA". It matches the Rfam family "Bacterial small subunit ribosomal RNA", at positions 524 to 904 of the family's 1533-position model. The record is from RNAcentral.
UACAGAGGGUGCGAGCGUUAAUCGGAAUUACUGGGCGUAAAGCGUGCGUAGACGGUCAUACAAGUCGGGUGUGAAAGCCCCGGGCUCAACCUGGGAAUUGCAUUCGAAACUGUAUGGCUAGGGUGCGGAAGAGGGAAGCGGAAUUUCCGGUGUAGCGGUGAAAUGCGUAGAUAUCGGAAGGAACACCAGUGGCGAAAGCGGCUUCCUGGUCCAACACCGACGUUCAGGCACGAAAGCGUGGGGAGCAAACAGGAUUAGAUACCCUGGUAGUCCACGCCAUAAACGAUGAGAACUAGACGUUGGAAGGGUUAGCCUUUCAGUGUCGCAGCUAACGCGUUAAGUUCUCCGCCUGGGGAGUACGGCCGCAAGGUUGAAACUCAA